This 882-nucleotide ribosomal RNA is filed under the name human gut metagenome. RNAcentral's name for it is "bacterial SSU rRNA". It matches the Rfam family "Bacterial small subunit ribosomal RNA", at positions 31 to 908 of the family's 1533-position model. The record is from RNAcentral.
GAACGCUGGCGGCGUGCCUAACACAUGCAAGUCGAACGGAGUUCUUGAGGAAUGCGGCUUCGGCCAAAUGACUUUUGAACUUAGUGGCGGACGGGUGAGUAACGCGUGAGCAACCUGCCUUUCAGAGGGGGAUAACAUUUGGAAACAGAUGCUAAUACCGCAUAAGAUUACAGUACCGCAUGAUACAGUGAUCAAAGGAGCAAUCCGCUGAAAGAUGGGCUCGCGUCCGAUUAGAUAGUUGGUGAGGUAACGGCUCACCAAGUCGACGAUCGGUAGCCGGACUGAGAGGUUGAACGGCCACAUUGGGACUGAGACACGGCCCAGACUCCUACGGGAGGCAGCAGUGGGGAAUAUUGCACAAUGGGCGAAAGCCUGAUGCAGCAACGCCGCGUGAGGGAAGACGGUUUUCGGAUUGUAAACCUCUGUUUUCGGUGACGAACAAAUGACGGUAACCGAGUAGGAAGCCACGGCUAACUACGUGCCAGCAGCCGCGGUAAUACGUAGGUGGCAAGCGUUAUCCGGAAUUACUGGGUGUAAAGGGAGCGCAGGCGGGAUAGCAAGUCAGCUGUGAAAACUAUGGGCUCAACCCAUAAACUGCAGUUGAAACUGUUAUUCUUGAGUGGAGUAGAGGCAAGCGGAAUUCCGAGUGUAGCGGUGAAAUGCGUAGAUAUUCGGAGGAACACCAGUGGCGAAGGCGGCUUGCUGGGCUCUAACUGACGCUGAGGCUCGAAAGUGUGGGGAGCAAACAGGAUUAGAUACCCUGGUAGUCCACACUGUAAACGAUGAUUGCUAGGUGUGGGGGGUCUGACCCCCUCCGUGCCGGAGUUAACGCAAUAAGCAAUCCACCUGGGGAGUACGGCCGCAAGGUUGAAACUCAAAGGA